Molecule: ribosomal RNA, 2293 nt
Filed under: human gut metagenome
Description: bacterial LSU rRNA
Rfam family: Bacterial large subunit ribosomal RNA
Source: RNAcentral
GAAAGCAAAGAAGGGCAUAUGGAGGAUGCCUAGGCUCUCGAAGGCGAAGAAGGACGUGAUAAGCUGCGAAAAGCUCCGGGGAGUGGCAAAUACACCGAGAUCCGGAGAUAUCCGAAUGGGGCAACCCGUCGAGGCUCGACCUCGACACACGCGAACGCGUGGGCGAACGUGGGGAACUGAAACAUCUAAGUACCCAUAGGAAGAGAAAAUAACAAUGAUUCCGCAAGUAGUGGCGAGCGAACGCGGAAGAGCCCAAACCGCAGGCGUAGCAAUGCGCCGUGCGGGGUUAUAGGACCGGCGCCACGAAGAACUGAAAGCUAGCCGAACCGACUGGAAAGUCGGGCCGCAGCGGGUGACAGCCCCGUAGGCGAAAGCGUUCAGCGAUUCCAGCCGGCACCUGAGUAACCCGGAGCACGAGGAAUUCCGGGCGAAUUGGCGGGGACCAUCCCGUAAGGCUAAAUACUAACGAGAGACCGAUAGCGAACCAGUACCGUGAGGGAAAGGUGAAAAGAACCUCGAACAGAGGAGUGCAACAGACCCUGAAACCAUAUGCCUACAAGCGGUCGGAGCGGCUUAGUGCCGUGACGGCGUGCCUUUUGCAUAAUGAACCUACGAGUCACCGUCGUUGGCAAGGUUAAGGACAAUGAUGUCCGGAGCCGAAGCGAAAGCGAGUCCGAAUAGGGCGUUGGAGUCAGCGGAGGUGGACGCGAAACCAAGUGAUCUACCCUUGGGCAGGUUGAAGGACAGGUAAAACUGUCUGGAGGACCGAACCGGUAAGCGUUGAAAAGCUUUCGGAUGACCUGAGGGUAGGAGUGAAAGGCCAAUCAAACUUGGAGAUAGCUCGUACUCCCCGAAAUGUAUUUAGGUGCAGCCUCGGAGAGAAUCUGACGGAGGUAGAGCGACUGAUAGGAUGCGAGGGCUUCACCGCCUAUCAAGUCCUGACAAACUCCGAAUGCCGUCAGACAUAUCCGGGAGUAAGGGCGCGGGUGCUAAGGUCCGCGUCCGAGAGAGGAACAACUCAGACCAUCGGCUAAGGUCCCGAAAUCCGGGCUAAGUUGAAGACAAUAACGAGGUGGGAUUGCAUAGACAGCUAGGAUGUUGGCUUGGAAGCAGCCAUUCAUUUAAAGAGUGCGUAACAGCUCACUAGUCGAGUGAUCCCGCGUGGAUAAUAAUCGGGCAUAAGUCCGGUACCGAAGCCAUGGAAUCACGCUUAGGGCGUGAUUGGUAGGGGAGCAUUCCGUACAGCGGCGAAGGUCGGUGGCGAUGCCGGCUGGAGCGUACGGAAAAGCAAAUGUAGGUAUAAGUAACGAUAAUGGAGGCGAGAAACCUCCACGCCGAAAGACCAAGGUUUCCUGAUCAACGCUAAUCGGAUCAGGGUAAGUCGGGACCUAAGGGGCAGCCGCGAGGCGGACCCGAUGGAAGAAACGGUAAAGAUUCCGUUACUGUCGCCGGGAGUGAAGCGGGGACGGAGGAGUGACACCGCCGCGGACUGACGGAAUAGUCCGUUGAAGAGUGUAGGUAUUCGGAGGCCAGGCAAAUCCGGUCUCCGAGCUGAACUUGACAGUACUGCGAGCCUUCGGGCAAGCAGACAGCGCGGGUAAUCAGACUCCCAAGAAAAUCCGCUAAACAUAUGUCGGCGACACCCGUACCGAAACGGACACACGUGGUCGGGUAGAACAUACUAAGGCGCUCGAGAGAUUCACCGUUAAGGAACUAGGCAAAUUGACCUCGUAACUUCGGGAUAAGGGGUCCCACAGCGAUGUGGGCGCAGAGAAUAGGUCCAGGCAACUGUUUAACAAAAACACAGGGCUGUGCGAAAUUUAAAGAUGAAGUAUACAGCCUGACACCUGCCCGGUGCCGGAAGGUUAAGAGGAGAAGUCAUCGCAAGAGAAGCUUUGAAUUGAAGCCCCGGUAAACGGCGGCCGUAACUAUAACGGUCCUAAGGUAGCGAAAUUCCUUGUCGGGUAAGUUCCGACCUGCACGAAUGGUGUAAUGAUCUGGACACUGUCUCAACCGUGAGCUCGGUGAAAUUGUAGUAUCGGUGAAGAUGCCGAUUACCCGCAACGGGACGAAAAGACCCCGUGAACCUUUACUGCAGCUUAGCAUUGGGACCGGGUGCGUGAUGUGUAGGAUAGUCCGGAGACAGCGAUGCGGGGGCGCCAGCCCUCGCGGAGUCGACGUUGAAAUACGGACCUUUGCGCAUCUGGUCUCUAACUCGCGGAAAGCGAGGACACUGCUUGGUGGGUAGUUUGACUGGGGUGGUCGCCUCCAAAAGAGUAACGGAGGCUUCUAA